UUCCGGUUGAUCCUGCCGGAGGUUACUGCUAUCGGAGUUCGAUUAAGCCAUGCGAGUCUAAAGGUUUCUUCGGAAACCUUGGCGGACUGCUCAGUAACACGUGGAUAACCUACCCUUGGGACUGGAAUAACCCCGGGAAACUGGGGAUAAUACCGGAUAGAUCAGGGAUGCUGGAAUGCACCUUGAUCCAAAGCUCCGGCGCCCAAGGAUGGGUCUGCGGCCUAUCAGGUAGUAGUGGGUGUAACGUACCUACUAGCCAACGACGGGUACGGGUUGUGAGAGCAAGAGCCCGGAGAUGGAUUCUGAGACACGAAUCCAGGCCCUACGGGGUGCAGCAGGCGCGAAACCUUUACAAUGUGCGAAAGCAUGAUAAGGGAACUCCGAGUGCCAGCAUCUAAUGUUGGCUGUCCUUGUGCCUAAAACGCACAAGAUAGCAAGGGCCGGGUAAGACCGGUGCCAGCCGCCGCGGUAACACCGGCGGCCCGAGUGGUAGCCGCUAUUAUUGGGUCUAAAGGGUCCGUAGCCGGUUCGAUAAGUCCUCUGGGAAAUCUGGUUGCUUAACAAUCAGACUGCCAAGGGAUACUGUCGAACUUGAGACCGGGAGAGGUAAGAGGUACUUCAGGGGUAGGAGUGAAAUCUUGUAAUCCCUGGGGGACCAUCUGUGGCGAAGGCGUCUUACCAGAACGGGUCUGACGGUGAGGGACGAAAGCUGGGGGCGCAAACCGGAUUAGAUACCCGGGUAGUCCCAGCCGUAAACGAUGCUCGCUAUGUGUCAGGUACGGUGUGACCGUAUCUGGUGCCGUAGGGAAGCCGUGAAGCGAGCCACCUGGGAAGUACGGCCGCAAGGCUGAAACUUAAAGGAAUUGGCGGGGGAGCACUACAACGGGUGGAGCCUGCGGUUUAAUUGGAUUCAACGCCGGA
RNAcentral lists this ribosomal RNA (921 nucleotides) under uncultured archaeon. RNAcentral describes it as "bacterial SSU rRNA". It matches the Rfam family "Archaeal small subunit ribosomal RNA", at positions 1 to 922 of the family's 1478-position model. The record is from RNAcentral.